UCCUGGGUAGCUCAAGUGGUAAAGAAUCUGCCUGCAGUGCAGGAGCCCUAGGUUCGAUCCCUGGGUCAGGAA
This 72-nucleotide transfer RNA is filed under the name Ovis aries (sheep). It matches the Rfam family "tRNA". Rfam says of the family: Transfer RNA (tRNA) molecules are approximately 80 nucleotides in length. Their secondary structure includes four short double-helical elements and three loops (D, anti-codon, and T loops). The record is from Rfam by way of RNAcentral. Lineage: Eukaryota; Metazoa; Chordata; Mammalia; Artiodactyla; Bovidae.